Molecule: long non-coding RNA, 917 nt
Filed under: Populus tremula
Lineage: Eukaryota; Viridiplantae; Streptophyta; Magnoliopsida; Malpighiales; Salicaceae
Description: long non-coding RNA (PTRE_LNC000219)
Source: RNAcentral
CUUCGCACUGUUCAAACUUCAAACAAUUAAUUAGACACCGAAGAACAGAGAAAAAAUGGAAAAGGCGCACCUGUUUCUGGCGAUUGAAGAAGGCUGCAGCGCUGGUGGAGUUCGACUGCUUGCUGUUUCAAACGAUGCUGAGGAGGGUUGCAACGCUGGUGUGGGUUCUACUGCUUUCUGUCAAAUGCCAAUGGUUCGGUGAUCGAUUGGGAUCCUGUUUCAGAAGGCGGUGAAGAAGGCUGCAGCGCUGGUGGAGUUCGACUGAGUUCUGUUGAUAAUCGAUGGUUAGGGGAUUAAUUGCUUUCUUGUAGGAACGAAAACAAGAUUGAUCCGUGACUCCCCUCCUCCUUUCUCUCUUUUUCUGCGUUGGUAUUUUUUGUUUGGUUUAUGCCCUUUUUUGUUACUCUGUUUUGGGUUGAUGUUUCUGUUCUUCUCUGUGUAUUUUUGGUUCUGUUUUUGGUUGCUCUGUUUUUCUGGGAUUGCCUUGCUUUCUCCCCCCUCGACUAGGUUUUCUGCUUCCUUUUAUAGACUCCCCAGCCCCUCUCUUUUAACUAGUCCUGUCUUUGCAGGACUCUUCUCUUCCCCGACGAGAUCGUGGGCGAUAGACAUGGUCCACGAUUGGAUCAACUUCGUUGCAGAUCUUCAGCCUGUUGAAUCGGGAUGCAGAAGACGAACACGGCUGUUUCACCAGCAACGGCGACGUUUCGGCAGCAAUGGAUUCCACCAGUAACGGCGACGUUUCAAGCAGCCAUGAACAUUUUCAAUUUGACCCCUGGACUUUGGAAAUUCGGCAAUUAGACCCCUAAACAAUUAAAAGUUUCUUUUAAUCUUGCCCUUUUGGAUUAAUUUCAAUUAAGUCUCUAAAUUAUAACACUAUUUACAAAACAGUCCUUAAUUUGUGGAUUGUCCAAUUUGAC